Molecule: ribosomal RNA, 629 nt
Filed under: uncultured fungus
Lineage: Eukaryota; Fungi
Description: eukaryotic LSU rRNA
Rfam family: Eukaryotic large subunit ribosomal RNA
Source: RNAcentral
CCCGCUGAACUUAAGCAUAUCAAUAAGCGGAGGAAAAGAAACUAACAAGGAUUCCCCUAGUAACUGCGAGUGAAGAGGGAAGAGCUCAAAUUUAAAAUCUGUCAGUUUUUAGCUGACCGAGUUGUAAAUUAGAGAAGUGCUAUCAGCGCUGGCCUGUGCAAAAGUCUCUUGGAAAAGAGCAUCAUAGAGGGUGACAAUCCCGUCUUUGGUACAGAGCUCCAGGGCUACAUGAUGUGCUCUCAAUGAGUCGAGUUGUUUGGGAAUGCAGCUCUAAAUGGGUGGUAAAUUCCAUCUAAAGCUAAAUAUUGGCCAGAGACCGAUAGCGCACAAGUAGAGUGAUCGAAAGAUGAAAAGCACUUUGAAAAGAGAGUUAAACAGUAUGUGAAAUUGUUGAAAGGGAAGCGCUUGCAACCAGACUUGUGUUUAAUGGUUCCCCCGGUCUUUUGACCGGGCUACUCCAUUAUAUCCAGGCCAGCAUCGGUUCGGGUGGUCGGUAAAAGGCCCUGGGAAUGUAUCUACCUUCGGGUCGACUUAUAGCCUAGGGUGUAAUGCGGCCUACCUGGACCGAGGAACGCGCUUUUGCUCGGAUGCUGGCGUAAUGGUUGUAAGCGGCCCGUCUUGAAACACGG